AUGAAAGUAGUAUAAUAUAGUACAAAUUUUUUCCAAAAAUUUGGUUUAAUAUUUCAUA
This 58-nucleotide transfer RNA is filed under the name Haemadipsa tianmushana. RNAcentral describes it as "tRNA-Gly". Lineage: Eukaryota; Metazoa; Annelida; Clitellata; Hirudinida; Haemadipsidae. RNAcentral also lists the same sequence under 1 other name. The record is from RNAcentral.